Molecule: ribosomal RNA, 465 nt
Filed under: Vreelandella stevensii
Lineage: Bacteria; Pseudomonadati; Pseudomonadota; Gammaproteobacteria; Oceanospirillales; Halomonadaceae
Description: partial 16S ribosomal RNA
Rfam family: Bacterial small subunit ribosomal RNA
Source: RNAcentral
CCUACGAGAGGCAGCAGUGGGGAAUAUUGGACAAUGGGCGAAAGCCUGAUCCAGCCAUGCCGCGUGUGUGAAGAAGGCCUUCGGGUUGUAAAGCACUUUCAGUGGGGAAGAAAGCCUUGGGGCUAAUACCCUCGAGGAAGGACAUCACCCACAGAAGAAGCACCGGCUAACUCCGUGCCAGCAGCCGCGGUAAUACGGAGGGUGCGAGCGUUAAUCGGAAUUACUGGGCGUAAAGCGCGCGUAGGCGGUCUGAUAAGCCGGUUGUGAAAGCCCCGGGCUCAACCUGGGAACGGCAUCCGGAACUGUCAGGCUAGAGUGCAGGAGAGGAAGGUAGAAUUCCCGGUGUAGCGGUGAAAUGCGUAGAGAUCGGGAGGAAUACCAGUGGCGAAGGCGGCCUUCUGGACUGACACUGACGCUGAGGUGCGAAAGCGUGGGUAGCAAACAGGAUUAGAUACCCGAGUAGUC